Molecule: long non-coding RNA, 6268 nt
Organism: Taeniopygia guttata (zebra finch)
Lineage: Eukaryota; Metazoa; Chordata; Aves; Passeriformes; Estrildidae
Source: Ensembl
UUUUUUUUUUUAAUUUGGCUGCACUAUUGAUUUUACAAGAUAUGUAGUGCUCUUCCACCUGUGUGCAAGGCUCCUGCUGGGAGCUGCUAAUGGAAAAAAACACCUCAAUUAGCAAGAAUUCCCUCUGAAAUCCUUGAAAAUCCAAUAUUUCUGAUUAGUUUGUUAAAAAAAUCUUAUUAAGAAAUGCUUGGUGAUUUCCCUAAUAAUAUCAAGGAGCAGAUCCUCAUGCUGGGCUCCCAAGAAGAGUAAUCUCUCCCUGCCUCCAGCAAGGCUCCAAAUUUUCACCACGCAGGAAUUAAUUUCCCAGCCCCUCCCUGCAAGCCACAGAGGAGAACUCCACUCCUGUUGUAGCUGCAUGCAGCAAAUGGAGCUUUGGGAAGAAAUUAAUGAUGUUAAUCCAGAUUCCAGGAGGAGAGGGGUGGAGAGGAACAGGGAAAACAUAUGAUUAUUUCCUCCCUCUAGUUCCAUCAGGCAAAUUAACUUCAUCUCCUGCUUGUCCCUCUUCUGCUUCAGCCUUGGAUUCACAUUGGCUGAGCCGAGUAUCUCCUCCUGAUAAAUAGAAAAAAUGUUCCUUCUGCAGUUCCUGUGGCCCAACACCUUAACGAGAGGUGGGUGAACCCAAAACCAGCAAGGCAGUUGUGUUUGGGACAUGAGUCAGAGCUGGCUCCCAGCCUGCUGGUCUCUCUCCCACAGGGAUAAUCCGAUUUCCUGUACUGAGCAUGUGCCCAUGACACCACCAAACAAACACACCAACUCAGCAGGGAAUUAAAGCAAUAAAUGCAUCUGCACACGGUGGCCUCUGCUUUAUUUGCAGAUAAUCACUGCAGUUCUCGUGAGCCAGGCUUAUCACUGGUUUAGGAAAAGGGCUUUGUCUCCCUUUGUACUUGCAGUGUUAACGAAACGGUCUCAGAGCGGUGGAGGGACCUGCGGGACCUGCGCUCUGCCCAGAGCAGGGCCAGGGUCUGCAGGCCAGGCUGGGCUCCACGCUGGUGCUCCACAGCUCCCUGAGCUGUGUGAAUGACUCUGUGCUGGUGCCCUUGUCAAGACAGCAGAGAAGCAGCUCCAGGGGAACUGUGGUUGCACCAGGCGAGGUUCAGGUUGGAUAACAGCAAAAAACUCUUCACUGAAAGAGUGGUCAGACUUUGGAAAGCGCUGCCCAGGGGAAGGUUGGAGUCACCAUGCCUGGAAGUGUUCAGAAAAUGAGUAGAAGUGGCACCUGGUGAUGGGCUUUAGUAAAGUUCAGUCAAAGGUUGGAUCUUGGAGGUCUUUUCCAACCUUGGAGAUUCUGUGACUCUGUGAUUUCUUUUCCAGAAGCAUUUCUGAGUGAGGAGAACUCAAGAAAGGAAGCACAGGCUGCACUUCUCUUCUUCCUUGUCUCAGUCAACCAAAGAACAGCUUCCAAACAUUCCUGCCAUGCUGAGGAGGCUCAGAUCCAAAGUUGUGAUCCCACUGGAAAGGCUGUGCAUCCAUCCAAGUUCAUUCCUCAUUUCUUCAGCCACAGAGCUGGGCUGGAACAAUCCCACGAAGUCCCAACAGAGCAGGAUUUGGUACAAACAAUAACUUUCCCCACCGAGGUUUGUAAGGACUCAGUGAGCAGCUCUGAAGUUUACAAACACCUCCUCUAUUCCAGUUGGGAUUGUUUUGUUCAUUUUGUUCUAAACACAACAGGGGAUGGGGAAAAUGAAAAUGGGAAGUCAUCAGCUGGUGGGAAACAGUGAGGCUGAACACAAAGGAGACUUUCCAGCCUUGGAGGACCCAGGAGCUCUAGAAAUGAAUGUGAGGAACUCUUUCCUUACGAUCAAACCUACCCUUGGCUGAGGAGACGUUGCUCCCCACCACUUUCUUGGGAAGGGGGACGCUGCCUCAAUGAGCUGACCUUUGAUCUUUCUGAUGUUCCAACCCCUGGCAAAGCACCAGCUCUGGCAGGAACUGUCCAUGUGGUGCACUGACAGCUCUGCAGAGCCAGGAGAGCCCUUCUCCCUUCCUCAGCCUUCCUUUUCCUUGCUUUCCUGAGCCUCUGGACCGAGCUGGGGCCACCCAGCCCUCAUUCAGCACAUGCUAAUUCUGACAUUUCCACGAUGUCUGCUGUCAGCACCAGCUCCUAAUUUAAGCUGGCUGCAGAAACGCCUCCUGCAUUCCAACCAGGCUGGAACUGGAUUGCUCAGAGAGGCAGCUGGAUGGGCUGCAGUACAUCCAGUCACCCCCUGCUUCCAUGCAUGGGAAUUGCUGAAUCACUUCAUUUUCCCCCUUCUUCACCUCCCAGUCCAACUUUUCAUUGGCAGCCACAGUCACUUGAAAAGAUUUUACUGGCAAAACAAGUCCUUGCUGAGUUCAAGCAGGACUUUUGCCCCUUGGGUUUCUGUAUCAGCCUGUGGAUGUGGAGGGGAUGCUGCAGGAGUCACUGAGGAGUCAGUGGAGCUCAGAAUCCUGAUUUUUCUGCAUCCCCAUGGGGCCCCGUUGUGUUUAGAACUGACACAGCUCAGCUCUGAGUCCCUCCUGUGAGGUGAGAGGGCUCUCGUGCUGCUGCAGCCUUUGUUAAAUGCUGCAAGGGCUGCCCUGCCUCUCCAGAGCUUCACCUUUGAAUACCUGGGACCGAGUGCCCCAAGGACACAGCCUUGGGUCUGGGUGGCCCUGGAAGCUGACACAGGUGGGGACAAAUCAUGAGAGUGCUGCCAGAGCUCACAACCACCCGAGGACUUCAGCCAAACCAAACCUUCAGUGUGGCGCCUUUUCCUUUUGCCACACUGGGAAAAACCAAAAGGGAAAAAAGGGACAUAAUACAGAAACUCACUAACUUUGCCCUGAGCAAAACAAGCUCUCCCCAGGAGGCUAUAGAGUCCAUCUCUGGUUGAACCUUUGCAAACACCACCUCCCCAGUCACCCAUUUCCAUCUCCUGCUGGACUAAAGACUAAAUCCAUUCAUAAUUCUGUCUCCCACUUCAUAGCUGAGAUGCAUAAUCCAGAACAUUGAAGGAAAAAAACCUUAACACUGAGCUGAACUUGUGGGGUUCAGUGUCUGCCUCCCAAGAUCAGCUUCCCUUGCCAUAGGGGUGGAAAUCUCCAAGGGAUAAACUGACAGCAGGAUCAUAUUCCUCUGAAUUCAUUCAUCAAAACCGAGACUGGGACCUUUCAAAUACUCAGUGAGGUUCUUGGGACCUAACCUUAGGGUCUGAGUCCUUAAGGUUGGCAAACACCUUUAAGAUCAUCAAGUUCAACCAUCACCCAGCACCACCAUCCUAUUCACACUAAACCACGUCCCCAAGUGCCACAUCCAUGCGUUUUUUGGACGCUUCCAAACAUGGUGAGCCCACCCCUGCCCUGGCAGCCUGUGCCAAUCUUUGCAACCAUUUUCAUGGAAAAUAAAUUCCCACAAAGAAAUUUUAUCUUCUCCAUGUGCAGGAAUUCUAUCCCUCGCCUGUGAGCCACAGGCGCUGCUGGCACAGUAUCAGGGAGAUACAGGGAAGUCAGAAGCCAAGGAGAAAGUGGAAUAUCCUGAAUCCAGACUGUAUCCAAACACAAAUCAUCCCGUGUCCCACCGAGCCCUGUGUGCAGGUCAUGGCUUCCACACACCUGUGUGACUACAGUCAACAGCAGCCAUGAAAAAAGGCAAUCCAAGGAACAGGCCUGUCUGGUGUAAAUAGGAGAUUUAGGCACUGUCAUUCAAAUCAGCCUCAGUCAGCUGCUGCCUUUCCUUGGAUCCACUCCCUGUGCCACAGCAAAUGGAGGCACAGCACAUCCCGGCUCCCCAGGAUCCACAGCGGGAUGUGGGAGUGCCUGGAGAGGCAGCUGGAACCAGGCUCAGGCAUGGAGGAGGAGAAGGUAGUAAAUGGGAAAAGGUGAUUCUCCAAGCAGUCUGUGCUGCUGGAAUACCUGGCAGAAGCAGAGAGGAACUGUGAAGGGAAUUAAACUGGCUCCUGUCCACACUCCUGACUCAUACUUUUGCAUAACGAGCCAGAGUCACUGUGAUUCUGGUUUAGCAUUUUAUGAUGUUUAAUCCCAAAAUUUGACUCUUCCCUCUCACUGCUGGGGAUGAGAACCCCGUUAGUGCUGCAUCUGCUUAGAAAGCUUCUAAUUGCUUGUAUUUUUAUAUUUGCAUAUAGAAAUGUCCAUGUUUCCAGGAGAGUCCUGUGAACCUCCAACUACCCCAGGGAGAGCCCUCAGGAAGUUAUUGAGGCCAGCAAAGGAUUUCUCAAGUUAUCUGGGAAGUCAUACUGCUGGGUGGACCCAUGGGCAAUUUCCCAUGGCAAAGGAAUUCCUUUAAUUAAUUCCUCUUUAAACUGGAGCACUGAUUUUUCAGAACCAGAACCAGCUGAUCCCUCCUGGCCUUACAGUCUGUUCCAGUGGGAAGUCUUGAGAUCAAGAUUAAAUUACUUUCUCAAGGCUCUAUGGUCUAGAAGAGGAGAGCAGGGGCUGCCAUUUGCUGCCUUGUGUUACUCCUGAAUGGUCACUUCUAGCUGGUAAAUGUGUAAUUCUUGAGAAGUUCCUUCUUCCACAUUCCAGUCAGACGUUCUUGAGCAAAAGGAGGCUUUGCCCCAGCACUCUGCACCUUUCCCUGCUCAGGGGUUGCAUUCCCCUCAUGUUUGAGGAGUGCUUAGGGAAAUCCCUGAUGACUGGGGGGAGUGAGUCUGUCCUAGGGAGGAGUAACAGUGCUUGUAAUUGUCCUGCAGGAUCCUGGAAAAUGUCCUGUUUCCAUUUUCCUCUGCUACCAUUGAAUUUGAAUGCAGGAGUGUCCGUUGAUAUUCAUUAUUCAUCUGUCCUUGAAUUUUUAACCAACAUGUGCUGGAGAUCAUUCUGUAUUUAGAGAGAGCUGGGAGUGCACAAUGAUUCAGCUGGGCUGGUAUGUCCUGCCACACUGCAGGACCAUUUUCAGCAAAAAGAGGUGGCUGAUCACCAUCAUCAGGAAAAUUGUUAAAUUUGGCAAGAAAAAGAUGCCAGCAGUCAUCUGCUGCAUGAGAUUGAAAAUCCAUCUCCCUGGGCUGUGUCUCCAGAGCUGUGUGAUCUCCACCACCCCAGUGUGAGGGGUUCUCUGCUACACAGGCCUGGUGUUGGCCCUCUCAGAGCCCAGGGACAACAUUCACCACAGAAGAUUAAAAAAAAAAAAAAAAAUCUUUGGAAGUAAUCUGAGAGCUAACUGCACCUUUCUUUGAAAGCAUUUGGAAUUCAGCUUUAUUUUCUCAUUUUUUCCCUCUAUAAAUACUUUGCAGAUCAGAUUCAUAUUUCAGCUCUAUUGGUGUCUUUUAGCAUGCCUCACUUUUCAAAUAAGAAUUGCAUUGUUUGGAGCAUUGGGAGUUUUUUUUUCAGCCACAGCUCCUGGAAUCAGAAAACUGUGAGAAUCUCAGUUUGCACUUGGAAGUGUAUUUGUGGCCUUGUAUUGCAAGGGAAGUAGGAAAAUACCAUUCAAAUGUCCUGAGAAGGGCUGACAACUGGAGAAAAAAUAAAAUAACUUUUCCAAAGAAAAUCCGUACUAAUUUCCCCCUCCCCCCACUUUUUUCUCUUUUAUUUUUUGUUUUUAGGGAAGAAGGAAAUACAAAAUAUAUAAGUCCUUCUGAAAGCCUGAGCCCCCUCCUUUUCCUGGCUCAAAUAUCCCAGGGCAGCAGGUGGAGAAGCAGGGUCCAGAACUCUGACUCCAUCCCUGGCCAUCAGAACCCAUGGCCUGACCCAAACCCUUGCAGGGACCUGACUCUGACCAUCUCAACCACAUUCCCACCACAUUCCCUGCCCCUUUCAGGAGCAGCUGGAGUGCUGGGGGUGCUUUCUGGAGCAGCCCAGCAGGUACCAGGGUCAUGCCUGGUCUGUCUCCGGGUGGCACAAAGCGCUGUCCCCCCUCAGCCCAGCUCCUUUUCCAGCUCCUUCAGGUAAUUCCAGCAGACAGUGAUUCCAUCCUCCUGCUCUCCUGGGCUCCCAGUCCCUUCCCACUGCAGCAGCACUUCCAGGACAUGCUGUGAGCAGGGCUGACCUUCCCACAUGUCCUGUCUUUUUAACUUAUGGCUUCUCCCAGGAACACCAGGCAGGAUUCUGCUGCCGUUAACUCAGAGCUGACCCUUUCUCAAGGCUCAAAUGCUCACGCCUAGAUCCAAAAGAAGAAAUUAUCUCAGUAAUGCUAAAAAUCAAUGAGAAUUAAGCAUCUUCAAUGCUUUGCAGAGUUGGUCUUUUGAGGUGACAACUAUUGAGAAAUAUUUGAGUUUUAAUGAAAAUCUGAAUUUUCUGUAACCAUGGCAAUGGGAAGAUGGAUUGAGCUGAACUUUUCAUCAUUAUUAUUUCUCUGAGG